This 45-nucleotide non-coding RNA is filed under the name Schistosoma margrebowiei. Lineage: Eukaryota; Metazoa; Platyhelminthes; Trematoda; Strigeidida; Schistosomatidae. The record is from RNAcentral.
GUCCAGCUGACGAGUUCCAAAUGGGACGAAACGCGUGUCCUGGAU